UACGGAGGGGGCAAGCGUUGUUCGGAAUUACUGGGCGUAAAGGGCGCGCAGGCGGCUGCUCAAGUCAGGCGUGAAAGGCCUGGGCUCAACCCGGGAAUUGCGCUUGAGACUGGGCUGGCUUGAGUGCGGGAGAGGAUGGUGGAAUUCCUGGUGUAGCAGUGAAAUGCGUAGAUAUCAGGAGGAACACCGAUGGCGAAGGCAGGUCUCUGGGCUGACACUGACGCUCAUGCACGAAAGCGUGGGGAGCAAACAGG
Molecule: ribosomal RNA, 254 nt
Filed under: uncultured bacterium
Lineage: Bacteria
Description: partial 16S ribosomal RNA
Rfam family: Bacterial small subunit ribosomal RNA
Source: RNAcentral